Molecule: non-coding RNA, 124 nt
Organism: Hypoxylon sp. CI-4A
Lineage: Eukaryota; Fungi; Ascomycota; Sordariomycetes; Xylariales; Hypoxylaceae
Source: the annotation of a GenBank genome assembly
GGCAAGAUGGCCGAGUGGUCUAAGGCGAUGGAUUCAAGCAUUUCAAUAUUCCUUGGCCUCAGGAAAACUGAGGACAUGCUUCCCAUUGGAGCAAUCCGCAGGGGUUCGAAUCCCCUUCUUGUCA